Molecule: ribosomal RNA, 398 nt
Filed under: uncultured bacterium
Lineage: Bacteria
Description: bacterial SSU rRNA
Rfam family: Bacterial small subunit ribosomal RNA
Source: RNAcentral
GGUGAGUAAUGCAUCGGAACGUGCCCGGUCGUGGGGGAUAACACUUCGAAAGAAGUGCUAAUACCGCAUACGAUCUGAGUAUGAAAGCGGGGGACCGUAAGGCCUCGCGCGAUCGGAGCGGCCGAUGUCAGAUUAGGUAGUUGGUGGGGUAAAGGCCUACCAAGCCGACGAUCUGUAGCUGGUCUGAGAGGACGACCAGCCACACUGGGACUGAGACACGGCCCAGACUCCUACAGGAGGCAGCAGUGGGGAAUUUUGGACAAUGGGCGCAAGCCUGAUCCAGCAAUGCCGCGUGCAGGAAGAAGGCCUUCGGGUUGUAAACUGCUUUUGUACGGAGCGAAAAGGCUCUCUCUAAUACAGGGGGCUGAUGACGGCACCGUAAGAAUAAGCACCGGCUA